RNAcentral lists this transfer RNA (77 nucleotides) under Micromonospora sicca. RNAcentral's name for it is "Micromonospora sp. 4G51 tRNA". It matches the Rfam family "tRNA". Rfam says of the family: Transfer RNA (tRNA) molecules are approximately 80 nucleotides in length. Their secondary structure includes four short double-helical elements and three loops (D, anti-codon, and T loops). Lineage: Bacteria; Bacillati; Actinomycetota; Actinomycetes; Micromonosporales; Micromonosporaceae. RNAcentral also lists the same sequence under 2 other names. The record is from Rfam by way of RNAcentral.
AGGGGCGUAGCUCAACCCGGUAGAGCACCGGAUUCCCAAAAAUCCGACGGUUGCAGGUUCGAAUCCUGUCGCCCCUG